GCCUUUGUAGUGUAGUGGUAAGCAUGCUCGACUCGCAUUCGAGAGGCCCGAUUUUCGAGUCCCGGCGAAGGCA
Stegodyphus dumicola is the source of this 73-nucleotide non-coding RNA. The record is from the annotation of a RefSeq genome assembly. Lineage: Eukaryota; Metazoa; Arthropoda; Arachnida; Araneae; Eresidae.